Octopus sinensis (East Asian common octopus) is the source of this 1415-nucleotide long non-coding RNA. RefSeq lists it as uncharacterized. Lineage: Eukaryota; Metazoa; Mollusca; Cephalopoda; Octopoda; Octopodidae. The record is from RefSeq and is a predicted model, not a curated record. The transcript is spliced from 2 exons.
GAAGUUGAUGUAAUUGACGGCCCCUUUCCCCCAAAAAAAUUUCAGGCCUUGUGCCUAUUGUAGAAAACAUUAUUUUGAACAUUGUGCCAAUAUUAGAAUACAUUAUUAUUAUUAUUUUAAUUAUAUUGGUGUGAACGGCAGAAUUGAUUGAAUGUAGAAAACAAAGUGCUUUGUGGCGUUCAGUUACGUUCCUUUACAUUCUGAGUUCAAACUCAGCCGAGGUCAACUUUACUUCUCAUCCUCAAGGUAUUAACAAAAUUAAUACCAGCCUAGUAACUGGGGUCAAUAUAACCAACUGUUGUACUUGCCCCCUAAAAUACAUGGCUUUGUGUCUAAGUUACCAAGUUAUUUCCUUCUGCCAACUCCUGUCCUACAGUAUAAGUCUGUGAUCAUGUGAACUAGCUAAGCUCUGAUCCUUAGGGUUUUUUUUUUUUACGUAUUUCAAUUUUCUUGCUUUUACUUUAUGGAGUAUCCAUCAGUCAUGCUUCAUUGUAAAUUAGCUGGGAAAACUGAUAAUUUUAGAUUUAGUUUUGAAGCUAUCUUGCAUUUUUAUUCUCUCAGCUUAAUCUAGUUUAUAUAUAUAUAUAUAUAUAUUAAAUAUAUAUAGGUGUGUGUGUGUGUGUAUACAGGUGCAGACGGUAUAUGAGGACAUAUUUAUGGUUUUAGAAAAAAAAAGCUUAUAUAAUAACAGAAAAAACUGUAUUUUUUUUUAAAUAACAUAAACAAAGCUAAAUUAUCAAUUUAAUAAUUUCAUUCAAUAAACCCACCAUAAGCUUCAAUAACUAUCUCUACAUGGGGUCGAAAUUAUUUACAAGCUUUGAUUUACAUGUCCUCAAAUACCAACUGCACCCUAUAUAUACACACGUGUGUAUAUGUAUGUAUAUGCAUAUAUAUGUGUAUACAUGUGUAUAUAUAUAUACACACAUGUGUAUAUGUACAUAUAUGUGUAUGCAUGUAUAUAUAUAUAUAUAUAUAUUGAAUAUAUGUUUUUAUUUUUGAGUUAUUAGGUUAUCUCCAAAAUAUUUUAAUUUUUCCUAUAUAUCUAGAAAAGAAACAAAGAUUUAUUUGUGGAUAACCGGUUCUUUUAUUAUUACUUGCUAUUUAUUAUUUCUAUACUAUAUAGUAUAAAAGCAAAAAUUGGUAAAGGUUUUUAGACCUCAGAUUGAAGUAGCUUUUGCUAUAUAUAUAUUUUUUUUUUUAUUUCCUUUUGUAUUUUCAUUUUUCCCAUUUCUCAAAUUCAAAAAAAAAAAAAAAAUUUUUUUUUUUCCUUCUUUUAAUCCUGUAGUAUUUGCAUGAACAAAAAAAAACAAAAAAGUAUGUCAGACAUUAUUCUCCUAUGCAGCCAUUUAUCAUUUGUGUGUGUCUUGUGGACAUAUAUAUCUAUACUAGAAAUAUCUUUUGGCUCUACUUGAAAA